RNAcentral lists this ribosomal RNA (253 nucleotides) under uncultured bacterium. Its description in RNAcentral is "partial 16S ribosomal RNA". It matches the Rfam family "Bacterial small subunit ribosomal RNA", at positions 524 to 776 of the family's 1533-position model. The record is from RNAcentral.
UACAGAGGUCCCAAGCGUUGUUCGGAUUCACUGGGCGUAAAGGGUGCGUAGGUGGUCGGGUAAGUCUGAUGUGAAAUCUCCGGGCCUAACCCGGAAACUGCAUCGGAUACUAUUCGGCUAGAGGGUUGGAGGGGGGACUGGAAUACUUGGUGUAGCAGUGAAAUGCGUAGAUAUCGGGAAGAACACCCGUGGCUAAGGCGGCUCUCUAGUACGGUACUGACGCUGAGACGCGAAAGCGUGGGGAGCGAACAGG